This 497-nucleotide ribosomal RNA is filed under the name uncultured bacterium. RNAcentral's name for it is "partial 16S ribosomal RNA". It matches the Rfam family "Bacterial small subunit ribosomal RNA", at positions 28 to 507 of the family's 1533-position model. The record is from RNAcentral.
GAUGAACGCUGGCGGCGUGCCUAAUACAUGCAAGUCGAGCGAACGGACGAGAAGCUUGCUUCUCUGACGUUAGCGGCGGACGGGUGAGUAACACGUGGAUAACCUACCUAUAAGACUGGUAUAACUUCGGGAAACCGGAGCUAAUACCGUAUGAUAUCUUGAACCGCAUGGUUCAAUAGUGAAAGACGGUCUUGCUGUCACUUAUAGAUGGAUCCGCGCUGCAUUAGCUAGUUGGUAAGGUAACGGCUUACCAAGGCAACGAUGCAUAGCCGACCUGAGAGGGUGAUAGGCCACACUGGAACGGAGACACGGUCCAGACUCCUACGGGAGGCAGCAGUAGGGAAUCUUCCGCAAUGGGCGAAAGCCUGACGGAGCAACGCCGCGUGAGUGAUGAAGGUCUUCGGAUCGUAAAACUCUGUUAUUAGGGAAGAACAUAUGUGUAAGUAACUGUGCACAUCUUGACGGUACCUAAUCAGAAAGCCACGGCUAACUACGUG